Molecule: ribosomal RNA, 1234 nt
Filed under: Pallenopsis patagonica
Lineage: Eukaryota; Metazoa; Arthropoda; Pycnogonida; Pantopoda; Pallenopsidae
Description: 16S ribosomal RNA
Rfam family: Archaeal large subunit ribosomal RNA (bases 803-1164)
Source: RNAcentral
GUUAUUUUAUAAUUAUUAUUUGUUUGAUUGUUAAAUAUUUUUAUUAUGAAAUAUAUUUAUUUAUAUGGUUUAAUGUAAUUGAUUUUUAUUUAUUGUAAUUAUAGUAAAUUAAGUAUUGAAAGAGAAAUUUAGUGUUUAUUUUUAUAGAAAAUCUUUAGUAUUUUACCUUUUGUAUUAGGGAUAAACUAAUAUUUAUAUUAUUUUAAUAUUCUCGAAUAUAGAGUUGAUCUAAUUAAAAUUAAUAGAUUAUUGUUUCAUUAAUAAGGGUAAGUUUUAAUUAGUGAUGAAAUGUCUUUCGUAAUCUAAUAUAUCUAGUUUAUGUAUUGUAAUUUAUUUAUUUGUAUAUUCAAGGGAUAAUUUUUGAUUUAUUUUUAUAAAAUUAUUAUUUAUAUUUAUAUUUUGAUUUGAUAGUAUUAAUAAUUUAAAGUGUGUUUAUACUUAAAUAUUUUAGUGUUAAUUUUUAUAUUUAUUACAUAUAUAUUAAUUAAUUUUUUGUUAAUAGUAAAAAUGUUUGUAUUAGUAUAUUUAUUUUAUAUAAUAAUUUAUAUAUAUUUUAUUUUGAGUAAAGGAAUUCGGCAAAUUUGUUCUUCGCCUGUUUAUCAAAAACAUGUCUUAUUGUAUUUAAUAAUAAGUUUGACCUGCCCACUGAAAUAGUAUGUUUAAAUGGCCGCAGUAUAUUAACUGUGCAAAGGUAGCAUAAUAAUUUGUUUUUUAAUUGGAGACUGGAAUGAAUGGUUGGACGUAAGAACUGCUGUCUCUAUUUUUUUUAUUGAAUUUUACUUUUAAGUGAAAAGGCUUAAAUUUUAUUAAGGGACGAGAAGACCCCAUCAAGUUUUAUAAGUGUAAGUUUUUAUUUUUUCAUAUUUAAUUUCUUAAUUUAUUUUUCUGGGGCGGAAGAAAUAGUAUAUCUUUUUUUAAAGUGGAAAUAACUAUUAAGUUUAUUAUUGAGUUUUAAUUAAAAAUAAUAUGAAUAAAUUACUGUGGGGGUAACAGCGUUAUUUCUUUUUAGAGUUCAUAUUAAUAAAGAAGAUUGCGACCUCGAUGUUGGAUUAAUUUUACCUAAUGGUGAAGAAGCUAUUAAGGUGAGUCUGUUCGACUUUUAAUAAAAUUACAUGAUCUGAGUUCAGACCGGCGUAAGCCAGGUCAGUUUCUAUCUUUAAUAAAUUGAUUAUAAGUUAUUUAGUACGAAAGGACCUAUAACUUUAAAUUGUUUGUUUAUGUAAAUUUAAUUUUA